UCUUGCUUCAGGGCCAGUCUGGAUGCUUCUCCUUGUGGCUAAUCUCCUGGGGCACGUAUACCAGGGUUCCAGGUCCAUCAUUUUACAAGCAGGAUCGGCCAUGAGGACAACUUCAGUGCAAGGCAUUUGCUGAGCUUCCUUAUGCUGUGCAUAAAACUGUAAGAAGAGAGUAGACCUCACAGCAUGCUGACAGCAUGUUGACGGCCAGCAGAAAGAAUGCACGGAUUAGAGAGUCCUGCGGUUGUUACCCGGACCUGUCUCAAGAAGAGAUGCUCGUGGAUGUAGGAGGGACUAGAGCUUCAGAUAGCACAUGGGACCACUCACUGCCUUUUGCAUUCACAACACCAUCUUCCUGGGGAAAACAAAGCUGGAGCACAACGUUUGGGAGUCUGAUGCAGUGGGCCCGACGAACCUUUGAGGAAGAACACGGUAACUUGGUGAGGACGGCUGUGAUUCUGUGGUAGGAGCAGUGGCAGCAGCUCUUGCUUGAGGUACACAUCUUCGCCUGAGCUGAGAAGCUCCCAUCUCUGGAUAGAGAUGCUAUCAAGUCGAGGGCAAGCAAAGCUCGAAGUCAUCUAGGAACCUGCUGUUUCAGCGGCGCUGUGUGCAGAGCACACAGUGGGCCCUGAGCUACAUAUGGUAUUGCUAGUGCCAUAUUUGUAAAUGAUUAGCAUCAGCUGAACAAGGUUAAGAAUCCAGAGUUCCUUCCUCUCCAACUGGUUUGUGGAUUCAGAAUUUCCCUCAGUGAGGCAAAGAGGAGAAAUGUGGGACCCCAAACCCAGUCCCAUUGUCUCUGAUGAAGACCUAAUUGAUGAGGGCUGCCAGAAGUCAGUGGCAGACUGCUUCCUAACAUGAAGGGGGACGUAGGUUCAUCUCCCGAGCCACAAAUCAAGCAAAAUACACACCUCCUAAGCAGUCUAUCCCCACCCCCAAAGUUGGAGUGGUAAGGGUAGCCUCGUGGAGGACUUUGGUGAAGUCCUCUGCAGGCAAGAAGUCUCAAAGGUCAGCAGAGGUGCCACCUUAGAGAAGCAACCUUCCAAACAGCUUGAACAGACUUGACGGCAGCUGCAGGUGGGGGAUUGACAGUCUCUGUCUAACUGCUGCUCCCUCGGGAGGCUUUCUAGGCCAACACAAGCUUUGGCUCUAACCACUGUUCCCUCUGAGCUAGGGCUGCUGGGUGGUCUAGGGAGCAGGAGGGCAGCAUGGGGGGUGGAGCUGGAGCUGGAGCAGGAGCAGGGUGAGGCAGGCCAAGCCUGACCUGAAAGAGAGGGAAAGGGAGAGGGAGAGGGAGAGAGAGGCAGAGACAGACAGAGAUGCAGAGCACAGGCAGACACAGAGAGACAGAGAGUUGGAUCUGGGUCCGGGGAAGACUGAUGCUCCUGGAGAGCUGAGGUCCUGGUUUGGGAAAGCAGAAAGAUCUAGAAGAUGCUGAAAUGCAACUCCACGAGGGGUCAAGCAACCUGCUGAGGGUCCAGGAUGAUGACCACAGAGAAGUUCCCGGGUCCCUGCUGCCCCAGGUGGUUAGGGUGUGGCGCACUGGGCCCCCUUCACCCCUACAUAUCUGGGACUCCAGAAAUGUGGCCGACAUGCUGCCCCCCCCCCCAAGGCUGCCAUUUGGAACGCAUUUGCAGACACAUG
Long non-coding RNA from Apodemus sylvaticus (European woodmouse), 1638 nucleotides. RefSeq lists it as uncharacterized. The record is from RefSeq and is a predicted model, not a curated record. Lineage: Eukaryota; Metazoa; Chordata; Mammalia; Rodentia; Muridae. The transcript has 5 exons.